GACCUGGUGGUGAAUCGCUCAUACCCACUUUACUUGCAUUUCCGUGGAGAUACAGUGGGUGUCCCCGGUUCGAAUCCGGGCCAGGUCA
This is a non-coding RNA of Mycena olivaceomarginata, 88 nucleotides long. NCBI's taxonomy places the organism in Eukaryota, Fungi, Basidiomycota, Agaricomycetes, Agaricales, Mycenaceae. The record is from the annotation of a GenBank genome assembly.